Protopterus annectens (West African lungfish) is the source of this 786-nucleotide long non-coding RNA. RefSeq lists it as uncharacterized. Lineage: Eukaryota; Metazoa; Chordata; Ceratodontiformes; Protopteridae. The transcript has 3 exons. The record is from RefSeq and is a predicted model, not a curated record.
UACCUGAAAAACUGCCAUUAUUCCUUUAUUUUAUCAUUUCUUUCCUUUAAAAUGUGUGGUCAGGAAAAGUGAAGGCUAUACCCACAUCAGCGGCACCACAGCGAUCACCGCGGGCACGUUUUACGAGUCCAACUGCUCAUAUUACAGCUGUUGCCCUGAUAACGGAAAAGUACAUGUGUUAACAGUACAGUCAGUCCCCAGAGCGUUCAGUCGGACUAACCCGGUCAACAAAUGUCAACUACCUGAAACGGACAGUAAUAAAAGAAAGAUAUGCACUGGCUUAAUAACAGAAAAGGAGAUAUUUGUGUGCACCUGUGAAUGCUCGUGAGCGUGUUCCGGGUAUUGACAUGCACAGCAUGGUAAUACGACUGACGUAUUUUCUGACUACCUGUGUUGUCGUCAGGAUGACGAUGAAUGACUCACCCAGAACCCCGGAUAUCUGUAACAACAGUUGCUUGUGGUGUGAUGGCUCUUGGUUGUUACACAGCCUGCCAUGAAGAAUUUGUACCUCUGCUUAUAAGAAAAUGGUGCAGACUUGGACACUUGAUUGUUGCAGUCAUUUAACAAGAAAAAAAUAAGAAAAUGGCCAAUCUAAGUCCUUUUUACAGUCAUUACAAGCCUCAGUUAAGCUGGACUACAGACAAGAUGGAUGCAUCUCUCUUCUCUACCCCGUCAUCUGGUGGAUUUUUGAAUACUGCUCCAUCUUUGGAUUCUGUUUUGUACAGUAAUUGGUCAGUGUUUGGCGAUGAUAUGAAUGUACCCAUACCAGUGCAGGAUAAUGUGAAA